GUUCAACUGUGCAAUGGAAAGCCUUAUACGAAAAAAAAAUCUGUUCCUAAAUGAGAGUAACCCGACAGCUACGGGCCUCAAGGCAGCUGCCUCCCUCUGGCUUUGCCUGCGUUUCCUAUGGCUGCCCGUCCUAUGGCUGGCGGCUUGCGCCGUGCUGUGGUUCCAGGUGAAUGUUACUCUUCACGACCGCUUUUCCCAGCGCACCGGCAAAAUUCCAGUUCCUUGUCCUGUCCCUAAGGGCACUCGGGAGCGGAACCACCGAGAAAGCCCGGUCUGCCAGUUAAAACAUAAACAUGAAGAAAUUAAAGCUUAAAGAACUGGAAAGCUCUCUUCAACAAGUUGAUACUUUUGAAAGUCCAAAACUACUCCUUGAACAGUAUCCAACAAGACCUCAUAUUGCAGCAUGUAUGCUUUAUACAAUUCACAAUACUUUUGAUGAUAUUGAAAACAAAACAAUUGCAGAUUUAGGAUGCGGUUGCGGCAUGCUCAGCAUUGGAAGUGCAAUGUUAGGAGCAGGAUUCUGUGUGGGGCUUGACAUAGAUGCAGAUGCACUGGAAAUAUUUAAUAGCAAUAUUGAAGACUUUGAGCUCACGAAUGUCAACAUGGUUCAGUGUGACAUCUGUUCUUUAUCUGACAGCAUGUCAGAUACUUUUGACACAGUUAUUAUGAACCCUCCGUUUGGUACCAAGCAUAACAAAGGAAUUGACAUGAUUUUUCUGAAAACUGCUCUACAAAUGGCAAAAACAGCUGUAUAUUCCCUUCACAAAACUUCAACACGACAGCAUAUUCAAAAGAAAGCAGCAGAAUGGGAAGUGAAGAUGGAAGUCUUAGCAGAAUACAAGCAGGCACUUAAUAAAGCUCUGAGAAAUACAUAUUCUGUGCAAAAUUCGGUUUGUUCCUGGACUAGAUUUUGUCUUCAAGCAGAAGCUACCUCUCUUCCUGCUUCAAAGGGCAUGUUGCUGAAAAAGUAAAGCAAAGCACAGAACUUAGGUUUGACUUACCAGCAUCAUACAAGUUCCAUAAGAAGAAAUCAGUUGACAUUGAAGUGGAUUUCAUUAGAUUUUCUGCCAAAAAAGUCCUGAAUUGAGGCAGGUAUUUAAAAUCUACUGAAAAUGGAACAAUAAAACCACUAAUUUUUUAAA
Molecule: RNA transcript, 1142 nt
Organism: Passer domesticus (house sparrow)
Lineage: Eukaryota; Metazoa; Chordata; Aves; Passeriformes; Passeridae
Gene: METTL5
Gene name: methyltransferase 5, N6-adenosine
Exons: 9
Source: RefSeq, a predicted model, not a curated record